UAAAGUAAACAUGCACAUAAGACAGUGUCUUCAUCACUUCAGAAAACACGGUAUUGAUGUCUAUCGCCAACCUUAAACAAGCUGCCUUGCAAAAAUGUAUUAAUAUAUGUAGCUGGUAAUUCUUAAAAGUGCUUCUGCAUCAUGAACCCUGAUUCCUCCCCAGCUCCCUAAUCGAAGCUUGAGGCUUAUGAGGGCGACUUAUGGCAACUUUCUCACUUUAAAAAAAGGGUCGCAAGUUGCAUAACAGUAUCAUCGCUCUGCCAUAUUUACCAUAAAGUUUCUGUUUAACACCUUAUAUUCUUAGACUCCUAAUGAUGAUACUGUUAUACACUAUGUUGUUGAACAAACAUUUAGAGAUCUAAGAUUGAGUCAAAGUAAAAAUAUAUAUAUAGCUUUGAAUGACCAAAGAAACCACAAAGUUUUAUCAUCACUUCAUUAUUACAGUAAAAGGGGAUCGAAAAACUGGAUAUUUGAUGAGUGUUUAAAGUUAAAGUCAUAAACACAACAUCUGAGGUGCAGCCAGAUGUGGCAGCUUCAUGGCUUGUGAUUUUGCUGUGGCAGUGAAUGCAACUCUAACACCCAUCUAUGCCUCUCUAUUUUUAACCACACGACCAGAUGUUCAUUGAGGAUUCAGAACCGUGACUAGUCACAGCAAGUUAUUGAACUCCUGACAGUUGUGAAGUCAGUAAUCUUUGCAGUUUCUUAUUAGAAUAAUGAGUGAAAAAUUUUAAUCAGGAUAAUAAUCUUUGAGCUCCUUUGGUGUUAAUGAAUUGAUGACAACAAUGAGGCAACCCCCCCAAACAGGAAUCGUUUUACAACUGGAGACCACUGACAAUUUUACCUUCCCCAUCUUUUGUCUUCUGUAUUUUUGACUAAUGUCACUACUGGUAGAAUGAGGUGAUACCUGGACCUUACACAGGUUGCAUAGAUAGUCCAACUCAGCAACAUCAGCAGGGCUGGUAUUUGCUACUUUGUGCAAAAUGACCUCGAAAAGGUGUACUAGUGUGAAGGUCUCUGACUAAAUAUUCAGAAAAAGACUUCAUGAGGGUGGCCUGAGUUGCCAAUGUACUUUAGUGGGCCCUCUGUUCAUUACCUGGCACCGUGGAGCCUGACUGACAUUUGCCAAAUGAGAUUAAUUGACAUCUGAUGUGUUUUUAAAGUGUUCCCUUAGGUUUUUUUAAACAGCGUUGGAGCAGCAGAUGUUUACUGUUUGCAUGUUCUUCAGGGCCUCCUGUGGAAACAGAGCCCCCUGACAUUACAACGGCCAGUCAGUUGUAUGAAGAGAUCAGAGAGGAGGACAGAUUGAGCAAUUUACCUCCUGAAGGAGUAUUUUCAAUUUACACCACUGCCAAAUGCCCCAAAGGAAACAGAGUUGAAAGCACAGAUGACUACAGCCUUGUCACCUGUCCUCAGAACAAAAGUGAAGAGAACUUGAGUAAGAUUGCUGCCACCAACAGCGCCCCCUGUGGCCAUGCAGACGUUUUGUACUCCACGCCUCAUGUACAUUUCAGCACAGCCAACCACACCAAAGACGCCUCACCUCCUCUGUAUUCUACUGUUGGAAACCAUCAGUACUAAUGUUAUUACAGGCUUAUUGCUAUGAUAGUUGUAGUUUGUUCAGACCAACUGGUAACACAAACUUUCUUCCAUUAAUCAUGCCAUUGUGAUUUUUAUUAGUCAGGGAAACAAGCAACUGCUGAAAUAAUGGAUUUCAUAGUGGAUCAACAGGCAUAAUUGAUUUGUAGCAACCUGAUCAUAGUCCAUUGGAUAGUCCACCUUUGUAUUUAGCUGAGGAGUUUAUAGAAAGUUAGCCUGUAGUUGAUAACUACUUAAAAGUAGUUGGUACUAACUUCACACAACUUUGCACAUGAAGAAAAGUUCUGGUUUAGUGCAAAGGAAAAAAACCACACGAACAAUAAUCAAUGAUCAAAGGUAAUAAAGUA
This is a long non-coding RNA of Pundamilia nyererei, 1943 nucleotides long. RefSeq lists it as uncharacterized. The transcript has 3 exons. NCBI's taxonomy places the organism in Eukaryota, Metazoa, Chordata, Actinopteri, Cichliformes, Cichlidae. The record is from RefSeq and is a predicted model, not a curated record.